Non-coding RNA from Gossypium hirsutum (cotton), 107 nucleotides. The record is from Rfam. NCBI's taxonomy places the organism in Eukaryota, Viridiplantae, Streptophyta, Magnoliopsida, Malvales, Malvaceae.
AAUCCAUGCAUCGAACAUUUCUGAAUUAACUCUUUAAAUCGUUCUUAGGCUUCAUAUAAUGUUUCAUCCUCUAACUGCCAAAAAAAUAUGAUGCUAUUUCUAAGUUG